GCUCGCUGCCGGUGAGGCAAAGACCGGGUCUGUUGGACCCGGGGAAACCGAUGAGCAUGCGCACUGAAGGCCGGGCGGAGCCGGUGCGCAUGCGCCCUCGAAGCGCGGAGCCGGCUGGUUGCUGUGGCAACGAGGAGCAAGUCUGAGCCCGUGGAGUCGGGAGAAGAAGAAGAGAAGUUUUUGUAAUGUGGUGCUAGAGUUUGCUGAAGCCACACCACUGUGUUUCCUGAUAGAGCAUGUUGAAAAAUAAGGAUCAUUCAUCUAAAAAAGGUAACUUAGCAGUCACUGCAGUUGCCUUACAGGACCACAUUUUACAUGAUCUUCAACUUGGACAUCUCUCAGUAGCAGAUCCUUGGAAGACAAAAGUGCAAAAGAAUGAGAACAAGUCAAAAUCUCUGAAAAGAAAUGCAAAGGCCAUAAUAGAUACUGGGCUUAGAAAAACUACAGAGAGCCCCAAAGUGGAAGAUCCAGAAAGGGAAUAUGUUCUAGACCCCACACCACCAUCAUUAAGUUUAGCCCAGAAACUAGGCCUCUUGGCACCUCCCCCAUUGCCACUGUCAUCUGAUGAAUGGGAGAAAGUGAAGCAGAGAUCCCUCCUGCAAGGGGACUCCACGCAGCCGUGCCCAAUAUGUAAAGAAGAGUUUGAGCUCCGUCCCCAGGUGCUGCUUUCCUGCUCACAUGUAUUCCACAAGGCAUGCCUUCAGGCUUUUGAAAAGUUCACAAAUAAAAAAACCUGUCCCCUCUGUAGAAAGAACCAGUAUCAAACCAGAGUGAUACAUGAUGGGGCCCGCCUGUUCAGAGUAAAGUGUGCCACCAGAAUCCAAGCCUAUUGGAGAGGAUACAUCGUUAGAAAGUGGUACAAAAAUCUGAGAAAAAUAAUCCCUCCUACGGAUGCCAAUUUAAGAAGAAAGUUCUUUGAGGAAAAGUUCACAGAAAUCAGCCACCGAAUCCUGUGCUCAUAUAACACCAACAUAGAUGAACUCUUCUCAGAAAUUGACCUCUGCAUGGCUGUAAAUCGCAGCAUUCUUCAGCAGCUAGAUGAAAGAUGUAGCUGUGAGAUCACUGAGGAGAAAUGGGAGAAAAUCCAAGAGCAGGCUGCUCACCGUGAGAUCUAUGAAUGUUCCAUCUGUCUGACUCCACUGUCCCUCCAUGGUGACUGCCGGCAAGCAGCUGUAGAGACUAGCAGUCAGCAUCCCCGAACGACAGUCCUUCUGUCCUGUGCACAUGUGUUCCACCAUGCCUGCCUUCUGGCCUUGGAGGAGUUUUCUGUGGGAGACAAUGCUCCUUUCCAUGUCUGUCCUCUCUGCCGCUCCUGCUACCAAAAGAAAAUUCUUGAAUGCUGAAUUCAUGUUCAGGAAGUUAAAGCUAAGACUAGAACAAGAAAGGGGAACCAAAUAGCACUACAACGGAUUUGGCCAAAUAUCAUCUUUGAUGACCUCUCCUAACUCAUCUGCACCUGCAUCAGAAUGGUUGGUGAACCAGUGCACUUUGAAGAUGGGUCACCACUCUCAUUCAGAUGAAGUUCUUUGGAGAGAACUUUAUUUUCAAAGCCAGGCCAGGCUGACAUGUUCUCCAACUUUGGGGCAGGAGCCAGUCUGGAUUUCUUGGACUGAGGAAGGCUUGCAG
Molecule: RNA transcript, 1626 nt
Organism: Psammomys obesus (fat sand rat)
Lineage: Eukaryota; Metazoa; Chordata; Mammalia; Rodentia; Muridae
Gene: Rnf32
Gene name: ring finger protein 32
Exons: 12
Source: RefSeq, a predicted model, not a curated record